GGGUUGUGAGGUUAAGCGACUAAGCGUACACGGUGGAUGCCCUGGCAGUCAGAGGCGAUGAAGGACGUGCUAAUCUGCGAUAAGCGUCGGUAAGGUGAUAUGAACCGUUAUAACCGGCGAUUUCCGAAUGGGGAAACCCAGUGUGAUUCGUCACACUAUCAUUAACUGAAUCCAUAGGUUAAUGAGGCGAACCGGGGGAACUGAAACAUCUAAGUACCCCGAGGAAAAGAAAUCAACCGAGAUUCCCCCAGUAGCGGCGAGCGAACGGGGAGGAGCCCAGAGCCUGAAUCAGUGUGUGUGUUAGUGGAAGCGUCUGGAAAGGCGCGCGAUACAGGGUGACAGCCCCGUACACAAAAAUGCACAUAUUGUGAGCUCGAUGAGUAGGGCGGGACACGUGGUAUCCUGUCUGAAUAUGGGGGGACCAUCCUCCAAGGCUAAAUACUCCUGACUGACCGAUAGUGAACCAGUACCGUGAGGGAAAGGCGAAAAGAACCCCGGCGAGGGGAGUGAAAAAGAACCUGAAACCGUGUACGUACAAGCAGUGGGAGCACGCUUAGGCGUGUGACUGCGUACCUUUUGUAUAAUGGGUCAGCGACUUAUAUUCUGUAGCAAGGUUAACCGAAUAGGGGAGCCGAAGGGAAACCGAGUCUUAACUGGGCGUUAAGUUGCAGGGUAUAGACCCGAAACCCGGUGAUCUAGCCAUGGGCAGGUUGAAGGUUGGGUAACACUAACUGGAGGACCGAACCGACUAAUGUUGAAAAAUUAGCGGAUGACUUGUGGCUGGGGGUGAAAGGCCAAUCAAACCGGGAGAUAGCUGGUUCUCCCCGAAAGCUAUUUAGGUAGCGCCUCGUGAAUUCAUCUCCGGGGGUAGAGCACUGUUUCGGCAAGGGGGUCAUCCCGACUUACCAACCCGAUGCAAACUGCGAAUACCGGAGAAUGUUAUCACGGGAGACACACGGCGGGUGCUAACGUCCGUCGUGAAGAGGGAAACAACCCAGACCGCCAGCUAAGGUCCCAAAGUCAUGGUUAAGUGGGAAACGAUGUGGGAAGGCCCAGACAGCCAGGAUGUUGGCUUAGAAGCAGCCAUCAUUUAAAGAAAGCGUAAUAGCUCACUGGUCGAGUCGGCCUGCGCGGAAGAUGUAACGGGGCUAAACCAUGCACCGAAGCUGCGGCAGCGACGCUUAUGCGUUGUUGGGUAGGGGAGCGUUCUGUAAGCCUGUGAAGGUGUACUGUGAGGUAUGCUGGAGGUAUCAGAAGUGCGAAUGCUGACAUAAGUAACGAUAAAGCGGGUGAAAAGCCCGCUCGCCGGAAGACCAAGGGUUCCUGUCCAACGUUAAUCGGGGCAGGGUGAGUCGACCCCUAAGGCGAGGCCGAAAGGCGUAGUCGAUGGGAAACAGGUUAAUAUUCCUGUACUUGGUGUUACUGCGAAGGGGGGACGGAGAAGGCUAUGUUGGCCGGGCGACGGUUGUCCCGGUUUAAGCGUGUAGGCUGGUUUUCCAGGCAAAUCCGGAAAAUCAAGGCUGAGGCGUGAUGACGAGGCACUACGGUGCUGAAGCAACAAAUGCCCUGCUUCCAGGAAAAGCCUCUAAGCAUCAGGUAACAUCAAAUCGUACCCCAAACCGACACAGGUGGUCAGGUAGAGAAUACCAAGGCGCUUGAGAGAACUCGGGUGAAGGAACUAGGCAAAAUGGUGCCGUAACUUCGGGAGAAGGCACGCUGAUAUGUAGGUGAAGCGACUUGCUCGUGGAGCUGAAAUCAGUCGAAGAUACCAGCUGGCUGCAACUGUUUAUUAAAAACACAGCACUGUGCAAACACGAAAGUGGACGUAUACGGUGUGACGCCUGCCCGGUGCCGGAAGGUUAAUUGAUGGGGUCAGCGCAAGCGAAGCUCUUGAUCGAAGCCCCGGUAAACGGCGGCCGUAACUAUAACGGUCCUAAGGUAGCGAAAUUCCUUGUCGGGUAAGUUCCGACCUGCACGAAUGGCGUAAUGAUGGCCAGGCUGUCUCCACCCGAGACUCAGUGAAAUUGAACUCGCUGUGAAGAUGCAGUGUACCCGCGGCAAGACGGAAAGACCCCGUGAACCUUUACUAUAGCUUGACACUGAACAUUGAGCCUUGAUGUGUAGGAUAGGUGGGAGGCUUUGAAGUGUGGACGCCAGUCUGCAUGGAGCCGACCUUGAAAUACCACCCUUUAAUGUUUGAUGUUCUAACGUGGACCCGUAAUCCGGGUUGCGGACAGUGUCUGGUGGGUAGUUUGACUGGGGCGGUCUCCUCCUAAAGAGUAACGGAGGAGCACGAAGGUUGGCUAAUCCUGGUCGGACAUCAGGAGGUUAGUGCAAUGGCAUAAGCCAGCUUGACUGCGAGCGUGACGGCGCGAGCAGGUGCGAAAGCAGGUCAUAGUGAUCCGGUGGUUCUGAAUGGAAGGGCCAUCGCUCAACGGAUAAAAGGUACUCCGGGGAUAACAGGCUGAUACCGCCCAAGAGUUCAUAUCGACGGCGGUGUUUGGCACCUCGAUGUCGGCUCAUCACAUCCUGGGGCUGAAGUAGGUCCCAAGGGUAUGGCUGUUCGCCAUUUAAAGUGGUACGCGAGCUGGGUUUAGAACGUCGUGAGACAGUUCGGUCCCUAUCUGCCGUGGGCGCUGGAGAACUGAGGGGGGCUGCUCCUAGUACGAGAGGACCGGAGUGGACGCAUCACUGGUGUUCGGGUUGUCAUGCCAAUGGCACUGCCCGGUAGCUAAAUGCGGAAGAGAUAAGUGCUGAAAGCAUCUAAGCACGAAACUUGCCCCGAGAUGAGUUCUCCCUGACUCCUUGAGAGUCCUGAAGGAACGUUGAAGACGACGACGUUGAUAGGCCGGGUGUGUAAGCGCAGCGAUGCGUUGAGCUAACCGGUACUAAUGAACCGUGAGGCUUAACCUUACAACGCCGAAG
Molecule: ribosomal RNA, 2925 nt
Filed under: Escherichia coli
Lineage: Bacteria; Pseudomonadati; Pseudomonadota; Gammaproteobacteria; Enterobacterales; Enterobacteriaceae
Description: 23S ribosomal RNA
Rfam family: Bacterial large subunit ribosomal RNA
Source: RNAcentral